Molecule: ribosomal RNA, 253 nt
Filed under: uncultured bacterium
Lineage: Bacteria
Description: partial 16S ribosomal RNA
Rfam family: Bacterial small subunit ribosomal RNA
Source: RNAcentral
UACGUAGGGUGCAAGCGUUAAUCGGAAUUACUGGGCGUAAAGCGUGCGCGGGCGGUUUUGUAAGUCUGUCGUGAAAUCCCCGGGCUUAACCUGGGAAUGGCGAUGGAGACUGCAAGGCUAGAGUUUGGCAGAGGGGGGUAGAAUUCCACGUGUAGCAGUGAAAUGCGUAGAGAUGUGGAGGAACACCGAUGGCGAAGGCAGCCCCCUGGGUCAAAACUGACGCUCAUGCACGAAAGCGUGGGGAGCAAACAGG